This 86-nucleotide ribosomal RNA is filed under the name Bacillus altitudinis. Lineage: Bacteria; Bacillati; Bacillota; Bacilli; Caryophanales; Bacillaceae. The record is from RNAcentral. RNAcentral also lists the same sequence under 1 other name.
UGGUGGCGAUAGCGAAGAGGUCACACCCGUUCCCAUACCGAACACGGAAGUUAAGCUCUUCAGCGCCGAUGGUAGUUGGGGGUUUC